This 467-nucleotide ribosomal RNA is filed under the name uncultured bacterium. RNAcentral's name for it is "partial 16S ribosomal RNA". It matches the Rfam family "Bacterial small subunit ribosomal RNA", at positions 28 to 506 of the family's 1533-position model. The record is from RNAcentral.
GACGAACGCUGGCGGCGUGCUUAACACAUGCAAGUCGAACGGAAAGGCCCUGCUUUUGUGGGGUGCUCGAGUGGCGAACGGGUGAGUAACACGUGAGUAACCUGCCCUUGACUUUGGGAUAACUUCAGGAAACUGGGGCUAAUACCGGAUAGGAGCUCCUGCUGCAUGGUGGGGGUUGGAAAGUUUCGGCGGUUGGGGAUGGACUCGCGGCUUAUCAGCUUGUUGGUGGGGUAGUGGCUUACCAAGGCUUUGACGGGUAGCCGGCCUGAGAGGGUGACCGGCCACAUUGGAACUGAGAUACGGCCCAGACUCCUACGGGAGGCAGCAGUGGGGAAUAUUGCACAAUGGGCGGAAGCCUGAUGCAGCAACGCCGCGUGCGGGAUGACGGCCUUCGGGUUGUAAACCGCUUUCGCCUGUGACGAAGCGUGAGUGACGGUAAUGGGGAAAGAAGCACCGGCUAACUACGG